RNAcentral lists this ribosomal RNA (245 nucleotides) under uncultured archaeon. Its description in RNAcentral is "partial 16S ribosomal RNA". It matches the Rfam family "Archaeal small subunit ribosomal RNA", at positions 1200 to 1445 of the family's 1478-position model. The record is from RNAcentral.
GGGUUCCAAAUCCGAAAGGAGGAGGGUAAUCCCCAAACAUUACCACAGUUAUGUCUGAGGGCUGCAACUCGCCCUCACGAAUAUGGAAUCCCUAGUAACUGCGUGUCAUUAUCGCGCGGUGAAUACGUCCCUGCUCCUUGCACACACCGCCCGUCGUUUCAUUGAAGUGAGCUUUUAGCGAUGUGACGUCUAAUUGGCGUUAUUGAACUUGAGGUUCGUGACAAGGGAAAAGUCGUAACAAGGUA